RNAcentral lists this ribosomal RNA (301 nucleotides) under uncultured bacterium. RNAcentral describes it as "partial 16S ribosomal RNA". It matches the Rfam family "Bacterial small subunit ribosomal RNA", at positions 509 to 809 of the family's 1533-position model. The record is from RNAcentral.
CAGCCGCCGCGGGAAUACGUAGGGUGCAAGCGUUAAUCGGAAUUACUGGGCGUAAAGCGUGCGCAGGCAGUUCUAUAAGACAGAUGUGAAAUCCCCGGGCUCAACCUGGGAACUGCAUUUGUGACUGUAGAGCUGGAGUGCGGCAGAGGGGGAUGGAAUUCCGCGUGUAGCAGUGAAAUGCGUAGAUAUGCGGAGGAACACCGAUGGCGAAGGCAAUCCCCUGGGCCUGCACUGACGCUCAUGCACGAAAGCGUGGGUAGCAAACAGGAUUAGAUACCCGCGUAGUCCUGUCUCUUAUACA